This 643-nucleotide ribosomal RNA is filed under the name uncultured bacterium. RNAcentral's name for it is "bacterial SSU rRNA". It matches the Rfam family "Bacterial small subunit ribosomal RNA", at positions 9 to 698 of the family's 1533-position model. The record is from RNAcentral.
GAGUUUGAUCCUGGCUCAGAACGAACGCUGGCGGCAGGCUUAACACAUGCAAGUCGAACGCCCCGCAAGGGGAGUGGCAGACGGGUGAGUAACGCGUGGGAAUCUACCGUACCCUACGGAAUAACGCAUGGAAACGUGUGCUAAUACCGUAUACGCCCUUCGGGGGAAAGAUUUAUCGGGGUAUGAUGAGCCCGCGUUGGAUUAGCUAGUUGGUGGGGUAAAGGCCUACCAAGGCGACGAUCCAUAGCUGGUCUGAGAGGAUGAUCAGCCACAUUGGGACUGAGACACGGCCCAAACUCCUACGGGAGGCAGCAGUGGGGAAUAUUGGACAAUGGGCGCAAGCCUGAUCCAGCCAUGCCGCGUGAGUGAUGAAGGUCUUAGGAUUGUAAAGCUCUUUCACCGAUGAAGAUAAUGACGGUAGUCGGAGAAGAAGCCCCGGCUAACUUCGUGCCAGCAGCCGCGGUAAUACGAAGGGGGCUAGCGUUGUUCGGAAUUACUGGGCGUAAAGCGCACGUAGGCGGAUAUUUAAGUCAGGGGUGAAAUCCCGCAGCUCAACUGCGGAACUGCCUUUGAUACUGGGUAUCUCGAGUAUGGAAGAGGUGAGUGGAAUUCCCGAGUGUAGAGGGUGAAAUUCGUAGAUAUU